UACGGAGGAUGCGAGCGUUAUCCGGGAUUUAUUGGGUUUAAAGGGUGCGUAGGCGGCUUUUUAAGUCAGCGGUGAAAUUUUGCAGCUUAACUGUAACAGUGCCGUUGAUACUGGGGAGCUAGGAUUUGGUUGCUGUGGGUGGAAUGUGUGGUGUAGCGGUGAAAUGCUUAGAGAUCACACAGAAUAUCGAUUGCGAAGGCAGCUCACAAAGCCAAAGAUUGACGCUGAGGCACGAAAGUGUGGGGAUCAAACAGGAUUA
Molecule: ribosomal RNA, 259 nt
Filed under: uncultured prokaryote
Description: partial 16S ribosomal RNA
Rfam family: Bacterial small subunit ribosomal RNA
Source: RNAcentral